RNAcentral lists this ribosomal RNA (546 nucleotides) under uncultured bacterium. Its description in RNAcentral is "bacterial SSU rRNA". It matches the Rfam family "Bacterial small subunit ribosomal RNA", at positions 777 to 1328 of the family's 1533-position model. The record is from RNAcentral.
AAUAGAUACCCGGGUAGUCCACGCCCUAAACGAUGUCUACUAGUUGUUGGGUCUUAAUUGACUUAGUAACGCAGCUAACGCGUGAAGUAGACCGCCUGGGGAGUACGGUCGCAAGAUUAAAACUCAAAGGAAUUGACGGGGACCCGCACAAGCGGUGGAUGAUGUGGAUUAAUUCGAUGCAACGCGAAAAACCUUACCUACCCUUGACAUGUCAGGAACCUCCGAGAGAUUGGAGGGUGCCCGAAAGGGAACCUGAACACAGGUGCUGCAUGGCUGUCGUCAGCUCGUGUCGUGAGAUGUUGGGUUAAGUCCCGCAACGAGCGCAACCCUUGUCAUUAGUUGCUACGAAAGGGCACUCUAAUGAGACUGCCGGUGACAAACCGGAGGAAGGUGGGGAUGACGUCAAGUCCUCAUGGCCCUUAUGGGUAGGGCUUCACACGUCAUACAAUGGUACAUACAGAGGGCCGCCAACCCGCGAGGGGGAGCUAAUCCCAGAAAGUGUAUCGUAGUCCGGAUUGUAGUCUGCAACUCGACUACAUGAAGUUG